UGGUGCUUAAUUCUGUUGUUUUUGAAUUUUAGUGGUAUUUUGUGCUUUGCGUGUACCGUUUACUGUUAUGCGAUUUUUUGUAUCUUUUUUUAUUUUAUCCUGUGUUGAGUAGUGGAUAUGGUGGUAAAUGAUAGAAUAGGGUCAUGUGCUGGGAAUUUGAGGGUGGGGUCGGGGUUCGGUGGUGGGUCUAGGUGGAAAGACGGUGGACGAAGUAUUAGGGGAGGGGUUUUGAGAGAUGAUAGGUUAAGGGUAGGGUUGUGGAACAUAAGGACCCUUCAGGGUAAGUCG
RNAcentral lists this long non-coding RNA (288 nucleotides) under Capsicum annuum. RNAcentral's name for it is "long non-coding RNA (CANN_LNC016297)". The record is from RNAcentral. Lineage: Eukaryota; Viridiplantae; Streptophyta; Magnoliopsida; Solanales; Solanaceae.